RNAcentral lists this transfer RNA (76 nucleotides) under Candidatus Pacearchaeota archaeon. RNAcentral's name for it is "tRNA-Ile". It matches the Rfam family "tRNA". From Rfam's summary of the family: Transfer RNA (tRNA) molecules are approximately 80 nucleotides in length. The record is from RNAcentral. Lineage: Archaea; Nanobdellati.
UGGCCCGUAGCUCAGAGGUUAGAGCGUCAUCCUUAUAAGGUGGGAGUCGUGGGUUCAAGUCCCACCGGGCCGACCA